UCCAGCUCGUGUCUCACCUUCCCGAUAAAGCCCCCGUCGAACAUCACGGACACACCCCAGCCACAGGGAUGGCUCUGGAGCCUCUGGAACACCAACACUUCCCUCUCCUUCCCAGCUCUUGGAGAGGAAUCAGGAAGAGCGACAGGCGCCGCUGGAGCGCUGCAAGUCCUCAUCCAGGCAAUGAAAUGGCCCGUUCCCAAAAUACCCACAAGGAUCACACAUCCAGGGAAGGCAGCAGGUGCUCGACAGCGCUGGCGGGAUCCUGCUGCCUUCCAAAUCCUUUUUGGGAAUUCAGACAGCCUGCCGUGGCUCGGAACGUCUCCAUAUCCAUGUGGGAAUAACGGGCAGGUGCUGGAGGCUUUUCCAGCCGGAUUUGCUGCAGCACUCGUGGGGCUGUCCUGGACUUUGCUCUGGCGCCUGCAGCAGGAUGGAGAUGUUUGGAUAACAAGCGGAUGUGGCAGCGCUGGCCAUGGAUCAUCACCCCUGUGCCAUCGCCUUCCUGUGCUCCUCCACCCCUGGCUUGCCAUGAAUUCCUGACAUUCUUGGUUUUCCUGGAGUCCUUUGUGCAGCCAGAGUUUUUUGGGAUAUUCAGGCAGCGUUCAUCCCAUCUCCCUACCGAGCCUGAGCUGAUGGGUUCUGUGGGAUCUUCUGCCAUGUGCCAGGUUUUGGUGCCCACUGGAUAAGGAUUGGGCAUGGCCGUAUCUUGGCAUCACCCUGGGACCAUGGGAUCAUGUUUCCAGAUGGGAUCUUUUCCCGAGAUUUUUUUCCUCCGGGCUACUUCUGCCCACCCUCCUGCUGCCUUCAGAGGGAAAAUCCAGGCCUCUCCCAAGGCUUUGGAAGGAGGGUUCACCCCAAAAUGUGUCUUGGGAGGCAACUUGUCCGAGGUGGCUGCGUAAAGUUUCCCAGGUGUGGGAGAAAUCCAUGGAGCUGCUGGUGAGGGGAAUGGGUGCAACAGGAAUGUCUCUCUCCAGCCCUUUCCUGUCUGAAUUUCAGGCAAAUCCUUCAUUUUCUGUCUCUAUCUGAUUUUUCCUGAUCCCACUGACCUCAUCCCUGCCCUCACAGCCAUGAGAACCGAAAUUGCUCAUCAUCCAUCCGUCCAUCCAUCCGUCCAUCCAUCCAUCCAUCCAUCUGAUGCAAGAACUAUUUAUCCCUAAUUGUACAGUGACUUGGCCUUUCCAUCCUCCAAAAUAAACCCCGUAGAGGCACUUUGGGAACUCCUGAGGAGCCAGAGAGCUCGGCUAAUAGAGGUCACCGCUCAUUACGGAGCCGUGCUCCACAAAUUAUCCACCAUCAGG
RNAcentral lists this long non-coding RNA (1295 nucleotides) under Taeniopygia guttata (zebra finch). RNAcentral's name for it is "lncRNA (ENSTGUG00000024905.1)". Lineage: Eukaryota; Metazoa; Chordata; Aves; Passeriformes; Estrildidae. The record is from RNAcentral.